AACUGUCAGGCUAGAGUGCAGGAGAGGAAGGUAGAAUUCCCGGUGUAGCGGUGAAAUGCGUAGAGAUCGGGAGGAAUACCAGUGGCGAAGGCGGCCUUCUGGACUGACACUGACGCUGAGGUGCGAAAGCGUGGGUAGCAAACAGGAUUAGAUACCCUGGUAGUCCACGCCGUAAACGAUGUCGACUAGCCGUUGGGGUCCUUGAGACCUUUGUGGCGCAGUUAACGCGAUAAGUCGACCGCCUGGGGAGUACGGCCGCAAGGUUAAAACUCAAAUGAAUUGACGGGGGCCCGCACAAGCGGUGGAGCAUGUGGUUUAAUUCGAUGCAACGCGAAGAACCUUACCUACCCUUGACAUCCUCGGAAGCCUGAAGAGAUUCGGGUGUGCCUUCGGGAGCCGAGUGACAGGUGCUGCAUGGCCGUCGUCAGCUCGUGUUGUGAAAUGUUGGGUUAAGUCCCGUAACGKGCGCAACCCUUGUCCCUAUUUGCCAGCGAUUCGGUCGGGAACUCUAGGGAGACUGCCGGUGACAAACCGGAGGAAGGUGGGGACGACGUCAGGUCAUCAUGGCCCUUACGGGUAGGGCUACACACGUGCUACAAUGGUCGGUACAAAGGGUUGCGAGUUCGCGAGGACGAGCUAAUCCCGAAAAGCCGAUCUCAGUCCGGAUCGGAGUCUGCAACUCGACUCCGUGAAGUCGGAAUCGCUAGUAAUCGUGAAUCAGAAUGUCACGGUGAAUACGUUCCCGGGCCUUGUACACACCGCCCGUCACACCAUGGGAGUGGACUGCACCAGAAGUGGUUAGCCUAACCUUCGGGAGGGCGAUCACCACGGUGUGUUCAUGACUGGGGUGAAGUCGUAACA
This 861-nucleotide ribosomal RNA is filed under the name Halomonas sp. JSM 114058. RNAcentral's name for it is "bacterial SSU rRNA". It matches the Rfam family "Bacterial small subunit ribosomal RNA", at positions 631 to 1493 of the family's 1533-position model. The record is from RNAcentral. Lineage: Bacteria; Pseudomonadati; Pseudomonadota; Gammaproteobacteria; Oceanospirillales; Halomonadaceae.